Molecule: ribosomal RNA, 459 nt
Filed under: uncultured bacterium
Lineage: Bacteria
Description: partial 16S ribosomal RNA
Rfam family: Bacterial small subunit ribosomal RNA
Source: RNAcentral
GAUGAACGCUGGCGGCGUGCCUAAAACAUGCAAGUCGAGCGGUAAGGCCUCUUCGGAGGUACACGAGCGGCGGACGGGUGAGUAACACGUGGGAAUCUACCCCAAACUGAGGGAUAAGCACCGGAAACGGUGUCUAAUACCGCAUAUGGUCUUCGGAUUAAAGCUUCGGCGGUUUGGGAAGAGCCCGCGUAAGAUUAGCUAGUUGGUGAGGUAAAGGCUUACCAAGGCGACGAUCUUUAGCUGGUUUGAGAGGAUGAUCAGCCACACUGGAACUGAGACACGGUCCAGACUCCUACGGGAGGCAGCAGUUAGGAAUUUUCCACAAUGGGCGCAAGCCUGAUGGAGCAACGCCGCGUGCAGGAUGAAGGUUUUCGGAUUGUAAACUGCUUUUAUGUGCGAAGAAUAUGACGGUAACACAUGAAUAAGGAUCGGCUAACUCCGUGCCAGCCGCCGCAGUAA